This 217-nucleotide unclassified non-coding RNA is filed under the name Hevea brasiliensis (rubber tree). The record is from RNAcentral. Lineage: Eukaryota; Viridiplantae; Streptophyta; Magnoliopsida; Malpighiales; Euphorbiaceae.
UUAUUUAAUAAUUUCUGACAACUUACAGGAUGCAAGAAUUGUUUUUGUGUACUUGUGUAAAGAAGGCAUUAGUACAUAGACAAAAAUAUGAAAAUUACAAGUGGAAGGAGAAAUUUUUAACCCAAUAAUUCUCUCCAGUCACACUUUAAAAAAGUAAUAUAAAAAACUUAUCCAUUUAUGUAAAGAAAUAAAGGCCAACAACUACAAGGUUCAAAAG